UGGCAUUGUAUUGCACGAAGUUACUGUGGAGACUUGUACGGUUGGGGAUGGAACAAUUGGGGUCAACUGAGCAUAUUCUCAGAAGAGGAAGAUUCUGUUGUUGAUUUUAAAGGCAUUGUUGUGCCCGAGCCAACUCUCAUGAAUUGGCCAACAGAUGAUGUCAACGUGACACAAGUUGCAUGUGGAACCAGGCAUACAAUUGCAUUAUUAGGUCGAGAUAUAUUGGACCUGAUAUUUCAAAGGAGCUUCCAGAAGCCUUGUGAGGGCAAGGUGGUAAAAGUUCAUUCAACCUUAGGAAAUAGACAAAAAUUUAAUGAAAUAAAGGUUCGUUUGGCAGUAAUGAUAGAAGAAAAUUCAUUUCAAAUGAGCUGCACUCGAAAAUCCAAUUAAACUGCAUUUAUAUUGAUUAUUUUUAUGUUUUGUCAGUACGUAACAAGUGUACUCAGCCAUAAAUUUUAUACUAAUAUCUGCAUAUUCAAAGCUUUCUCAAUUUCAAUAUUAGCUGGAAUGCAUGUAUUAUAGAAUUCUCUCAAAAUUUGGUUUUACAUUGAAAAAAAAUGAAAACUAUUUUUGAUCUGUCUUAUACUGACACAUUUUGUUUCAUUUUUGGUGCUUCUGAUUUUCAUCACUUUAGCGUGCCUUGGGCAAAUAGACCUUGUAUAAAUAUUCCUGUUAAUCUAAUUUCCAUCAUCUAGCAAUUCGAGUAUCCAGAAAAUUUAACCUCCAUCACUCUCUUCCUGUCGGUUUAUAAGCUUGGAGUCCAAGCUGUCCAACCCAAGCCAAAUAAGUUUGAAUACUUGUAAAGUGUGACAUAGGAUCUACCAUUUUCCUUCUUGUAUUUACUUUUAAAGCUCCAAUUGCGGAGGGUGGAUCUUCUAUGACAGUUAUAACCCCUCCAUUACCACGAACGUGGCAUCUACGUUCAAACACGCGAAACUGUAUCCAUCCUGUAACAAUACUGCCAUUACUCAAUAGCCUCUACUCACAAGUAUUCACACUUGUACUUCUAUGUGUCGAGG
RNAcentral lists this long non-coding RNA (1019 nucleotides) under Bemisia tabaci. RNAcentral describes it as "lncRNA ENSSSA2NGG010173". The record is from RNAcentral. Lineage: Eukaryota; Metazoa; Arthropoda; Insecta; Hemiptera; Aleyrodidae.